AGAGUUUGAUUAUGGCUCAGGACGAACGCUGGCGGCGUGCCUAACACAUGCAAGUCGAACGGAGAUAUGUUUUGGAAGGGCUUCGGUCUGGAAGAGAUAUAUUUUAGUGGCGGACGGGUGAGUAACGCGUGGGCAAUCUGCCUUGUAGAAAGGGAUAACAGGCCGAAAGGCUUGCUAAUACCGGAUGAGCUUGUCUAAUCGCAUGAUAAGACAAGGAAAGGGGAAACCCGCUACAAGAUGAGCCUGCGUCCCAUUAGCUAGUUGGUGAGAUAACAGCCCACCAAGGCGACGAUGGGUAGCCGGCCUGAGAGGGUGACCGGCCACAUUGGAACUGAGAAACGGUCCAG
RNAcentral lists this ribosomal RNA (347 nucleotides) under uncultured bacterium. RNAcentral describes it as "bacterial SSU rRNA". It matches the Rfam family "Bacterial small subunit ribosomal RNA", at positions 8 to 334 of the family's 1533-position model. The record is from RNAcentral.